This 306-nucleotide long non-coding RNA is filed under the name Gallus gallus (chicken). Its description in RNAcentral is "long non-coding RNA NONGGAT011852". Lineage: Eukaryota; Metazoa; Chordata; Aves; Galliformes; Phasianidae. The record is from RNAcentral.
UUUUACCUUGAAAAGGUACUUCAGCAGUUCAGCUACAGCACUUUUCACAAAGCUGAGGAACUGUGCUUUACUAAUUUAUUCUCUUUUCAUCAUCUCUUUCCUAAUAGUGUUUCUAAGAUCAAGGAUGUUGGAGAGAGUGCACCUCAUGUAAAAGUCUUGAAAGUCUUCUGUGACUGUCUCCCCACUGAGGAGAAGGAUCAUCAAUAGCAUUCAGUAGCAUCUAGGAAGUUAGUGGAUUUUUUCCUUCCAUCUCGUUGACAAAUGCUCCAAGUUCCCAAAAACCAUGAACUGUUUUUUCUGAAGUUG